AAGACCUUGCGCUUUUGGAGCGGCCGAUGCCUGAUUAGCUUGUUGGUAAGGUAAAAGCUUACCAAGGCUUCGAUCAGUAGCUGGUCUGAGAGGACGGCCAGCCACACUGGGACUGAGACACGGCCCAGACUCCUACGGGAGGCAGCAGUGGGGAAUUUUGGACAAUGGGGGCAACCCUGAUCCAGCCAUGCCGCGUGAGUGAAGAAGGCCUUCGAGUUGUAAAGCUCUUUCAGCCGGAACGAAACGGUUACGGUUAAUACCCGUGAUUACUGACGGUACCGGAAGAAGAAGCACCGGCUAACUACGUGCCAGCAGCCGCGGUAAUACGUAGGGUGCGAGCGUUAAUCGGAAUUACUGGGCGUAAAGCGUGCGCAGGUGGUUUUGUAAGUCAGAUGUGAAAGCCCCGGGCUCAACCUGGGAACU
RNAcentral lists this ribosomal RNA (423 nucleotides) under uncultured bacterium. Its description in RNAcentral is "bacterial SSU rRNA". It matches the Rfam family "Bacterial small subunit ribosomal RNA", at positions 207 to 622 of the family's 1533-position model. The record is from RNAcentral.